UUGACUUGAGUCAACUUGAGGGCAAUUGCUUCCUGCACCCAAUUAAUUGUGACUGACACCUGACGAACUUUUUAAAAUCCGAUCAUGCCCUUGUCUUCUUCAUUUUGAAAAAUAUUGUAUGUUGAGGUAGAGGAAGUUCAUUGUUGUGUGAAGCUUUAGUUCGCACCAUCUUCUAGAACUACCUCCACCUCUAGUAUGCACUAUCUUACAACAUAUAUAACAAAAUAACAUUCAAUCCAACAUAUAUAAAAAAUUAUAACACAUAUAGUAUAAAAAAACAAAUGAAAAAAAGUUCAUAGAAGCCAAGUGCCCUAAACUAUCUAACACUAAUACGGAUAACCAUAUCCGCAGAACAACAACAACAACACUACGGAAAAUUUUGUCCACAAGUCAAAUACCCCUUGCGAAUAAAAAUAUCCAGAGACCAUUCUUCCACAACUGUAAAAAUAUCCAAAAGUCAGUCCUGAACUACGGAUAAAAAUAUCCGGAAUGCAAUAGUGAACUAUGGAUAAAAAAGUGCGGAACUCAAUAAUGAAUUAUGGAUAAAAAUAUCCAGUAGGCAUGACAGAGUACCUUUCUCCGACGAUGGUUCCUUCUCCGACUUCAGAAGCUGACGGUGGCGACUGCUACUCUGCCUGCGAUGAUGAAGCUCACUGAUGGUGAAGGAAACCAAUGGAGACGACAGUGGCCGAGGGUGGCUGCGGCUGCUGCUUCAAGCACA
Molecule: long non-coding RNA, 721 nt
Filed under: Phaseolus vulgaris (common bean)
Lineage: Eukaryota; Viridiplantae; Streptophyta; Magnoliopsida; Fabales; Fabaceae
Description: long non-coding RNA (PVUL_LNC002712)
Source: RNAcentral